UACGUAGGGUGCAAGCGUUGCCCGGAAUUAUUGGGCGUAAAGAGCUCGUAGGCGGUCUGUCGCGUCGGCUGUGAAAACUCGGGGCUCAACCCCGAGCCUGCAGUCGAUACGGGCAGACUAGAGUGCUGUAGGGGAGACUGGAAUUCCUGGUGUAGCGGUGAAAUGUGCAGAUAUCAGGAGGAACACCGGUGGCGAAGGCGGGUCUCUGGGCAGUAACUGACGCUGAGGAGCGAAAGCGUGGGGAGCGAACAGG
Molecule: ribosomal RNA, 253 nt
Filed under: uncultured bacterium
Lineage: Bacteria
Description: partial 16S ribosomal RNA
Rfam family: Bacterial small subunit ribosomal RNA
Source: RNAcentral